AGCGAUUACAAUCACUGGGGGGGGGGAGUGCCUAACAAUUUGGCACUCCCAGUGAUUGUACCUUUUCUUCUCCUAUAAGAGUUAAGUUAUAGGGGGCCCAGCCAUAGGGCACAAAUUAAAAGUUCUCUGCAUUGCAGUGAUAUCCCAUUUUCCAACCCGAACCUGUCCAGACCAAACCUUGAGUUUUGGACCACUCCAUGCCUCUCUGAUAAGUUUAGCAUGGAAAAUUUCCCCACAGCACAUUUACACAAUAUUACAGAGAAUAUUACAGAAUUCUGUACAGCAGUAUUCACUGAAGGGCCCCGGGCCCCAUACAAAAUGGGACAACAUUUUCCUUUCAUAACUCCGGCAAUUGGUCCUCUCAGUUCCCAAAGGGUUACAGAGCGUUGCUGAAAGAACACCGUUGGAAACGAGCCCCUGCCUCCCCUCAUGUUGUGGGCAUUCAUGUCAAAAUGAAAAGACAUUUUUGGGAAAGCAGUAAAAUUUCUCAUUUCAGCAUU
Long non-coding RNA from Xenopus tropicalis (tropical clawed frog), 500 nucleotides. RefSeq lists it as uncharacterized. The transcript is spliced from 2 exons. The record is from RefSeq and is a predicted model, not a curated record. Lineage: Eukaryota; Metazoa; Chordata; Amphibia; Anura; Pipidae.